AGAAGGACAAAUACAGAAUCCGUGUCUGGGAGAAACCUCGUGGCCUGGUCUCCAUUAUUUGAGAUGAGUUACAUCUUGGAGGUGAGGACGUGCCUCGUGGUCUAAAGCUUCGGCACAAGGGCCCAACUGGAAUUCCACUUACGGGACCAUAGCUGUCUGCAGUGCAGGAAGCCAACUAUUAAGGGGAAACAAAAGUGUUCUUAGGAGUCCUGCUGUCACUGUGGAUUGAGCCGGUGAAGCCCUGAGGGAUUUCAUCGCUGAGGUGGAUGGAGAAGCAGCUGGGGGCCUUGGCUGUAAGGACCCCUAAGGGCCUGAUCUUUUGGCCAGAAGGAGAUUAAAAAGAUGCCCCUCAAGAUGGCUGUGCCUGUCAGCUGCAUGGAGCUUCGUUCAAGUAUUUUCUGAGCCUGAUGGAUUUACAGUGAUCUUCAGUGGUCUGGGGAAUAACGCUGGUGGAACCAUGCACUGGAAUGACACACGCCCGGCACAUUUCAGGAUACUAAAAGUGGUUUUAAGGGAGGCUGUGGCUGAAUGCCUCAUGGAUUCUUACAGCUUGGAUGUCCAUGGGGGACGAAGGACUGCAGCUGGCUGAGAGGGUUGAGAUCUCUGUUUACUUAGAUCUCUGCCAACUUCCUUUGGGUCUCCCUAUGGAAUGUAAGACCCCGACUCUUCCUGGUGAAGCAUCUGAUGCACGUUCCAUCCGGCGCUCAGCUGGGCUUGAGCUGACCAUACUCCCUGGAGCCUUCUCCCGAGGUGCGCGGGUGACCUUGGCACAUACAGCCAUCAUGAUGGUACUUUAAGUGGAGGCUGAAUCAUCUCCCCUUUGAGCUGCUUGGCACGUGGCUCCCUUGGUGUUCCCCUUUUACUGCCAGGACACUGAGAUUUGGAGAGAAUCCUGUUACACCUGGGAUUUAGGCACUUUCAAUCUGAAAAAAUACAUAUCCUUUCAGCACUCUGGACGGACUUGAGAACUGUCCUUACGUGACCUAAAGCUGGAGUAUUUUGAGAUUGGAGAAUUAAGAGUGUGGGCACCCUGGCUUCAAGCUCACGAGAAACCAGGUCGGGAUUUAAACAAUGUUGGGUUAAAGCAAAGUUUCAUAAAGACAGAAUCAAGAAAAAAAGAAAGAGAAA
This 1128-nucleotide long non-coding RNA is filed under the name Homo sapiens (human). RNAcentral's name for it is "Pvt1 oncogene". The stretch from base 720 to 888 matches the Rfam family "Pvt1 oncogene conserved region 4". The record is from RNAcentral. Lineage: Eukaryota; Metazoa; Chordata; Mammalia; Primates; Hominidae.